UGGGCUUGACAUGUAGCGGAUCGCCGCAGAGAUGUGGUUUCCCUUGUGGUCGCUAUACAGGUGGUGCAUGGUU
RNAcentral lists this ribosomal RNA (73 nucleotides) under uncultured Corynebacterium sp. RNAcentral describes it as "partial 16S ribosomal RNA". Lineage: Bacteria; Bacillati; Actinomycetota; Actinomycetes; Mycobacteriales; Corynebacteriaceae. The record is from RNAcentral.